GCCUAAAGCGUCCGUAGCCGGCUCUGUAAGUGUUCGGUUAAAUCCAUAUGCUCAACAUAUGGGCCGCCGGGAAUACUGCAUAGCUAGGGAGUGGGAGAGGUAGACGGUACUCCGUAGGAAGGGGUAAAAUCCUUUGAUCUAUGGAUGACCACCUGUGGCGAAGGCGGUCUACCAGAACACGUUCGACGGUGAGGGAUGAAAGCUGGGGGAGCAAACCGGAUUAGAUACCCGGGUAGUCCCAGCUGUAAACUAUGCAAACUCAGUGAUGCAUUGGCUUGUGGCCAGUGCAGUGCCGCAGAGAAGUCGUUAAGUUUGCCGCCUGGGAAGUACGUACGCAAGUAUGAAACUUAAAGGAAUUGGCGGGGGAGCACCACAAGGGGUGAAGCCUGCGGUUCAAUUGGAGUCAACGCCAGAAAUCUUACCCGGAGAGACAGCAGGAUGAAGGUCAAGCUGAAGACUUUACCAGACAAGCUGAGAAGUGGUGCAUGGCCGUCGCCAGCUCGUGCCGUGAGGUGUCCUGUUAAGUCAGGUAACGAGCGAGAUCCUUACUUCUAGUUGCCACCAUUACUCUCAGGAGUAGUGGGGCGAAUUAGCGGGACUGCCGCAGUUAAUGCGGAGGAAGGAGAGGGCCACGGCAGGUCAGUAUGCCCCGAA
Molecule: ribosomal RNA, 654 nt
Filed under: uncultured archaeon
Lineage: Archaea
Description: bacterial SSU rRNA
Rfam family: Archaeal small subunit ribosomal RNA
Source: RNAcentral